RNAcentral lists this ribosomal RNA (447 nucleotides) under uncultured bacterium. Its description in RNAcentral is "SSU rRNA". It matches the Rfam family "Bacterial small subunit ribosomal RNA", at positions 26 to 518 of the family's 1533-position model. The record is from RNAcentral.
AGAACGAACGCUGGCGGCAGGCUUAACACAUGCAAGUCGAACGCUCGUAGCAAUACGGGAGUGGCAGACGGGUGAGUAACGCGUGGGAACAUACCCUCCGGUUCGGAAUAGCUCAGGGAAACUUGGAUUAAUACCGGAUACGGCUGAGAGGCGAAAGAUUUAUCGCCGGAGGAUUGGCCCGCGUUCGAUUAGCUUGUUGGUGAGGUAACGGCUCACCAAGGCGAUGAUCGAUAGCUGGUCUGAGAGGAUGAUCAGCCACAUUGGGACUGAGACACGGCCCAAACUCCUACGGGAGGCAGCAGUGGGAAUAUUGGACAAUGGGCGCAAGCCUGAUCCAGCCAUGCCGCGUGAGUGAUGACGGCCUUAGGGUUGUAAAGCUCUUUCGCUCGGGACGAUAAUGGCGGUACCGAGAUAAGAAGCCCCGGCUAACUUCGUGCCAGCAGCUGC